This 501-nucleotide ribosomal RNA is filed under the name uncultured Tissierella sp. RNAcentral describes it as "bacterial SSU rRNA". It matches the Rfam family "Bacterial small subunit ribosomal RNA", at positions 28 to 524 of the family's 1533-position model. The record is from RNAcentral. Lineage: Bacteria; Bacillati; Bacillota; Tissierellia; Tissierellales; Tissierellaceae.
GACGAACGCUGGCGGCGUGCCUAACACAUGCAAGUCGAGCGAGAUGCCUAUAACGGAUUCCUUCGGGAUGAAGACUUAGGUAUUCUAGCGGCGGAUGGGUGAGUAACGCGUGAGAAACCCUGCCUUUCACAAGGGAACAGCCUCGAGAAAUCGGGAUUAAUGCCCUAUGAUACCUAAAGAUCGCAUGAUCUUUUCGUUAAAGCGUAAAGCGGUGAAAGAUGGUCUCGCGUCCCAUUAGCUAGUUGGUGAGAUAAAAGCUCACCAAGGCUACGAUGGGUAGCCGGCCUGAGAGGGCGACCGGCCACACUGGAACUGAGACACGGUCCAGACUCCUACGGGAGGCAGCAGUGGGGAAUCUUGCACAAUGGAGGAAACUCUGAUGCAGCGACGCCGCGUGAACGAUGAAGGUUUUCGGAUCGUAAAGUUCUGUCCUAGGGGAAGAUAAUGACGGUACCGUUAGGAGGAAGCACCGGCUAACUACGUGCCAGCAGCCGCGGUAAC